Molecule: long non-coding RNA, 1203 nt
Organism: Manihot esculenta (cassava)
Lineage: Eukaryota; Viridiplantae; Streptophyta; Magnoliopsida; Malpighiales; Euphorbiaceae
Exons: 3
Source: RefSeq, a predicted model, not a curated record
UUUGAUGGGUGGGGUGGGAUACGCACCACAUAGCCUUCUCCCUUUGAUUACAUUUAAUAUAAUUAAUUGAAGUCUUUCUUUGUAUAAUAAUUGAAGCAAAAAUAAAUACUACAACAACAGAUGCCGAGAAAGAUGAGUAGGAGAGAUCAAAGUUGGAUUGAAUAUGAGGGGUGGGAGUGAUGAACUUUGGAAAAGACAUAAAAUACUAGAGGAAGUACACGUUUCUCAAUGCACCAUCUCUGUGUUUUCUAUGCACCAAAAACUUCUCAUUUCUCAGCUGGCCUUCAUGUUUCCAUGUGCAUAUCCAUGCUUUGUCCACAUAUCGACAGCUAUAUAUCCGCCGCCCGUGACAUCAUUUCCACCAGCAGCAGCUCAUCCAAUGGUGCACGCACAAGAUCACAAUGCCUUACAACCACCACCACCACAAUUGUUUAUCCCACAAACGAUGGUCCAGGCUACCCGAAUUACAUACCCCUUAAGCUGUAGAGACCAAAAGGAAGGGUGGUGAUGGCUUUUGGAAAGGAUGUUUUGCUGCCUUGUGUUGCUGCUGUGCCUUAGACAUGUUCUGUUGCUGAAGACUAUAUAUCAGAUAGUUCAAGUUCCUUUUUGUUAUUAAUCGUUUUCAUUAAUCUAAUUCAUGUGGUGAUUGAAAUGGUAAUUACAUGCAUGUCUCAUUAGUGUUCAUGUAAAACUGGUUCAUGGUGACCUAUUCUCUGAUCAGCAGAAGACAUAAAUAUGUUCCAUGGUAAGGUUUUUUGGUGUCGAAUGAAUGGUCUCCACGCAUUUUAUUCUUCCUCAAAAGAUUAACAUAGGGACCUUAACAAAUGACAACUAAGCUGUAAACCAAGAUAGGAUUAGCGCAUACAAUAGAAUAAAGACCAAACUAGUACAAGAAUAUUCAUUGUGAUGCGGUUUGCAACUUUGUGUGAUAAAGGUUAGUGCUUUAGCCACUACAUGAACCCGUUUCGGCCUUAAACGGCACAGAUUACAGACCCAGCUAAAAUGGGUUUUGAGCCUCAGCAACCCAACCUGAGAGCCAGAGAGUAGAGGACUAUUUAUGGGCUUAAAAGAAUAAAUAGAACUUGAUUAAAGGGCUAUCUUUAAAAGAGUGUCUGGGCCAUAUGGCCCAGAUUGAGAGCCCAAUUGAAAGGUUUUGUGUUCAAUGCAAGUAAUUCUCAAAUAAGCAAAAUUGCUCAAAGGUCU